RNAcentral lists this ribosomal RNA (468 nucleotides) under uncultured bacterium. Its description in RNAcentral is "partial 16S ribosomal RNA". It matches the Rfam family "Bacterial small subunit ribosomal RNA", at positions 28 to 507 of the family's 1533-position model. The record is from RNAcentral.
GACGAACGCUGGCGGCGUGCUUAACACAUGCAAGUCGAACGGAAAGGCCCUGCUUUUGUGGGGUGCUCGAGUGGCGAACGGGUGAGUAACACGUGAGUAACCUGCCCUUGACUUUGGGAUAACUUCAGGAAACUGGGGCUAAUACCGGAUAGGAGCUCCUGCUGCAUGGUGGGGGUUGGAAAGUUUCGGCGGUUGGGGAUGGACUCGCGGCUUAUCAGCUUGUUGGUGGGGUAGUGGCGUACCAAGGCUUUGACGGGUAGGCGGCCUGAGAGGGUGACCGGGGACCAUAGUCCUGCGGGAGGGCCCAGUCGGGAACGGUGGACAAUGGGGGAGAGUCUGACACAGCGGGGGCGAGCCUGAGACGAAAGCGUCCGGUGUGGAAAGCCCGCCUUCUGGGGAGGAAGCGCUGUAAGCUGAGACCUAGCUUUAUUGACGUUACUGACAGAAUAAGCACCGGCUAACUUCGUG